CCUACGGGAGGCAGCAGUCGAGAAUCAUUCACAAUGGGGGAAACCCUGAUGGUGCGACGCCGCGUGGGGGAAUGAAGGUCUUCGGAUUGUAAACCCCUGUCAUGUGGGAGCAAAUUAAAAAGAUAGUACCACAAGAGGAAGAGACGGCUAACUCUGUGCCAGCAGCCGCGGUAAUACAGAGGUCUCAAGCGUUGUUCGGAAUCACUGGGCGUAAAGCGUGCGUAGGAUGUUUCGUAAGUCGUGUGUGAAAGGCGCGGGCUCAACCCGCGGACGGCACAUGAUACUGCGAGACUAGAGUAAUGGAGGGGGAACCGGAAUUCUCGGUGUAGCAGUGAAAUGCGUAGAUAUCAGGAGGAACACCGGUGGCGAAGGCGGCUUACUGGACAGUGACUGACGUUGAGGCUCGAAAGCGUGGGGAGCGAACAGGAUUAGAUACCCCUGUAGUC
This 446-nucleotide ribosomal RNA is filed under the name uncultured bacterium. Its description in RNAcentral is "partial 16S ribosomal RNA". It matches the Rfam family "Bacterial small subunit ribosomal RNA", at positions 338 to 795 of the family's 1533-position model. The record is from RNAcentral.